This 270-nucleotide small RNA is filed under the name Cebus imitator (Panamanian white-faced capuchin). RNAcentral describes it as "7SK RNA (ENSCCAG00000004439.1)". The stretch from base 1 to 186 matches the Rfam family "7SK RNA". From Rfam's summary of the family: 7SK was discovered as an abundant small nuclear RNA in the mid-70s but a possible function has only recently been suggested. The record is from RNAcentral. Lineage: Eukaryota; Metazoa; Chordata; Mammalia; Primates; Cebidae.
GGAUGUGAGGGCAAUCCGGCUAUGACAUUUGCACCUCACUGACCAUCAGGGUUGAUUCGGCUGCUCUGGCUGGCUAGGUGAGUAUCCUCUUCCUUCCCACUGCUUUCUGCACGUUCCUCCUGAGUCUGCGUGCUAGGUCUAAGAGGAUGACCAUCUUUUUUUUGAGACAGAGUUUCAUUCUUGUUGCCCAGGCUGGAGUGCAAUGGUGCGAUCUCGGCUCACUGCUCCCCUUUUGCCUUUAAAAACCUACUUGUAACAAAGACCAAAUAG